RNAcentral lists this non-coding RNA (23 nucleotides) under Arabidopsis thaliana (thale cress). The record is from RNAcentral. Lineage: Eukaryota; Viridiplantae; Streptophyta; Magnoliopsida; Brassicales; Brassicaceae.
UUAAAAAUUGUAAGGAGUCCUUA